Small nucleolar RNA from Bufo bufo (common toad), 135 nucleotides. The record is from RefSeq and is a predicted model, not a curated record. NCBI's taxonomy places the organism in Eukaryota, Metazoa, Chordata, Amphibia, Anura, Bufonidae.
AUGGCCCUGAAUCAAGGCUGGUGGCUUGUUGUAGCUACUGGUUUCAAGCAGGAGCACAAAUUAACUUCUUCCUGUGGUCUGUUGGCUGGGCCAGUUUGCUGUAUGACCAAGCCAAUUCAGUUGGAAGAGACAAUG